UGGACAGGGGGGUCUCUGCCGGUUCCGGCAGGGCCUGUCCAGCAAGGUUGUGCGUGAUGCGUCAGGCGCGACCAGUGGUUGUCGCUCGGGGGUGAUCGCCG
This is a small RNA of Streptomyces alboflavus, 101 nucleotides long. It matches the Rfam family "che1 RNA". NCBI's taxonomy places the organism in Bacteria, Bacillati, Actinomycetota, Actinomycetes, Kitasatosporales, Streptomycetaceae. The record is from Rfam.